RNAcentral lists this transfer RNA (75 nucleotides) under Phycisphaeraceae bacterium. RNAcentral's name for it is "tRNA-Glu". It matches the Rfam family "tRNA". Rfam says of the family: Transfer RNA (tRNA) molecules are approximately 80 nucleotides in length. Their secondary structure includes four short double-helical elements and three loops (D, anti-codon, and T loops). Further hydrogen bonds mediate the characteristic L-shaped molecular structure. tRNAs have two regions of fundamental functional importance: the anti-codon, which is responsible for specific mRNA codon recognition, and the 3' end, to which the tRNAs corresponding amino acid is attached (by aminoacyl-tRNA synthetases). tRNAs cope with the degeneracy of the genetic code in two manners: having more than one tRNA (with a specific anti-codon) for a particular amino acid; and 'wobble' base-pairing, i.e. permitting non-standard base-pairing at the 3rd anti-codon position. The record is from RNAcentral. Lineage: Bacteria; Pseudomonadati; Planctomycetota; Phycisphaerae; Phycisphaerales; Phycisphaeraceae.
GGCCCCAUCGUCUAGUCUGGUCCAGGACGUCAGGUUCUCAUCCUGAAAACUGGGGUUCGAAUCCCCAUGGGGUCA